UCACCACUCUGGCCUCAAUGGCUUAGAUGAAGUGUAGUAUCUGUUCUUUAUAGUUUAACAACUAUAACAGUCCUACCGGGACUCGUUCGUUGUUUCCUUAUUUUUGUCGGCCAGUGCGCAAUCGGUGGACGCGGGCUUGCUCGCUCCGCCGAGUGCGACGAUGACCUCGCCUCUACACUCACGGCUCGUGUUGUCAUGGCAUC
RNAcentral lists this small nuclear RNA (203 nucleotides) under Exidia glandulosa HHB12029. RNAcentral describes it as "U2 spliceosomal RNA". It matches the Rfam family "U2 spliceosomal RNA". Rfam says of the family: U2 is a small nuclear RNA (snRNA) component of the spliceosome (involved in pre-mRNA splicing). Complementary binding between U2 snRNA (in an area lying towards the 5' end but 3' to hairpin I) and the branchpoint sequence (BPS) of the intron results the bulging out of an unpaired adenosine, on the BPS, which initiates a nucleophilic attack at the intronic 5' splice site, thus starting the first of two transesterification reactions that mediate splicing. Lineage: Eukaryota; Fungi; Basidiomycota; Agaricomycetes; Auriculariales; Exidiaceae. The record is from Rfam by way of RNAcentral.